Molecule: ribosomal RNA, 468 nt
Filed under: uncultured bacterium
Lineage: Bacteria
Description: partial 16S ribosomal RNA
Rfam family: Bacterial small subunit ribosomal RNA
Source: RNAcentral
GACGAACGCUGGCGGCGUGCUUAACACAUGCAAGUCGAACGGAAAGGCCCAGCCUUGGUGGGGUGCUCGAGUGGCGAACGGGUGAGUAACACGUGAGUAACCUGCCCUGGACUUUGGGAUAACUUUAGGAAACUGGGGCUAAUACCGGAUAGGAGCUCCUGCUGGAUGGUGGGGGGUGGAGAGUUUCGGCGGGUGGGGAGGGACUCGCGGCUUAUCAGCUUGUUGGUGGGGUAGUGGCUUACCAAGGCUUCGACGGGUCGCCGGCCGGAGGGGGUGACCGGCCACAUUGGGACUGAGAUACGGCCCGGACUCCUACGGGAGGCAGCAGUGGGGAAUAUUGCACAAUGGGCGGAAGCCUGAUGCGGGAACGCCGCGUGCGGGAUGACGGCCUUCGGGUUGUAAACCGCUUUCGCCUGUGACGAAGCGUGUGUGACGGUAAUGGGUGAAGAAGCACCGGCUAACUACGUG